GGGUGAGUAACGCGUAGGAAUCUACCCAGUAGCGGGGGAUAGCUUGGGGAAACUCAAAUUAAUACCGCAUACGCCCUACGGGGGAAAGCAGGGGAUCUUCGGACCUUGCACUAUUGGAUGAGCCUGCGUUGGAUUAGCUAGUUGGUGAGGUAAAGGCUCACCAAGGCGACGAUCCAUGGCUGGUCUGAGAGGGCGACCGGCCACACUGGGACUGAGACACGGCCCAGACUCC
This 232-nucleotide ribosomal RNA is filed under the name uncultured bacterium. RNAcentral describes it as "partial 16S ribosomal RNA". It matches the Rfam family "Bacterial small subunit ribosomal RNA", at positions 104 to 339 of the family's 1533-position model. The record is from RNAcentral.